Molecule: transfer RNA, 42 nt
Filed under: Spermatophyta environmental sample
Lineage: Eukaryota; Viridiplantae; Streptophyta
Description: partial tRNA-Leu
Source: RNAcentral
AAAAUCCGUCGACUUUAAAAAAUCGUGAGGGUUCAAGUCCCU